RNAcentral lists this long non-coding RNA (1359 nucleotides) under Manihot esculenta (cassava). RNAcentral's name for it is "long non-coding RNA (MESC_LNC005653)". Lineage: Eukaryota; Viridiplantae; Streptophyta; Magnoliopsida; Malpighiales; Euphorbiaceae. The record is from RNAcentral.
UCAAUUAAAAAAAGUGUUAAAGGUUGAUUCUUUCUUCCUACAAAAUAUAAGCCUAGCUCUUGCUAAAGAAAAUAUAGGAUAUAAAUUCAAGCAUGGCACAGGUCAACGUGUUCAUUGCCACAUGAUUUUUUUCAAGGUUCCAACACUGCCACUCAUAUUACUGUUAAUCCAACUUCAAUAUGUGGCUUUACAUUAACGAUCAACUUUAAGUUCAUAAAUAUAUGGAUAAACUAACUAGGUACAUUCAAGAUGAUGUUCCGUGGUGCAUAUUAUUUGUAAAUAAUGAUGUUUAGCAGAUGAAACUAGUAAAGAAGUUGAUAAAAAAUAAAGUUAUGGAGAACUCUUGAGUCUUCACAGUAAAGUUUUUAGGCUAGGAGUAAGGCAGAAUACAUGCAUUGUGAGUUCAACACUCGCAGAAGGAAGGUGAGGUUCACAAGAUUGAGUUUAAUGCAAUAACUUCAAAUAUUUAAGUUCUAUUCAUGGUUUUAAAUAAAGGCCGUUACAGUAUAUACAGAUUGCUGUUUAUAGGUGAAUAAAAAUUUGUUCCUGUUAACGGCCAUUAUGCCUAUACAUAAUGAUAACAGUCAUUAUACUCAUUACAUAACGAUAUCAGCCAUUAUUUACCAUUAACUAAUAGUAACAGACUGCUACCUCACUUUUUUUUAAAGCCAAAUGGAGGCAACAACUCAUUUUUUUCCUGGAUUGGGUGGUCUUAAGUUGUUGUAUCUCACUUUCUAGUUAAAUAUCUAUAUACAAAUGUCACUUCUUUUCUCUCAAGUUAAGAUCAUCAACUAUCUUUCUAAUUCCACACAUCUAUACCUUGUAAUAUUUGAGUUAAUUGGGUAUCUUAGUUGUACUUGUAUCUUUAACUAUCUCUUCGUUACAUGAACUUUGCAUUUUUAUGAAAAAAUUGCAUGGAUAGACCAUUAUCAUUAUAUUAUGCCUGUUACAUGCUUGUUUCCACUAUAAGCGAUCGUGACUGCAAACAUGGCUGCGACUGUGAUUUCAAUCAUUUGUUCCAUUAUCCAAAAAAAGUAACACUUGACAAUGUAACUUAUAGGAUUGAAAAAGAGGGAUGAAAUGGUGGACUGCGACAAGUGUACUAUAUACAUAUCCAUAAAAAGAGUGUUGUAGAAAUGUGGAUUAGUAAUAUGAUAAUGCAUAAAAUUGGGAAUGACCACAGACAUCAAUAGGGAUAAGAUAAGACAGAGUAGAUUACGAUGGUUUAGUCAUAUCCAACACAAAUAAAUUCCUCAACAUAGAAGCAUGAUAAGUUAGUAGUGGAAAAUAAAGAAUAGUAUCCAAAGAUCGAGAAAAUAUAACUAAAAUUUAAUGGAUGGAUAGCAAACAAUUUAUCUU